Long non-coding RNA from Zonotrichia leucophrys gambelii, 2092 nucleotides. RefSeq lists it as uncharacterized. NCBI's taxonomy places the organism in Eukaryota, Metazoa, Chordata, Aves, Passeriformes, Passerellidae. The transcript has 7 exons. The record is from RefSeq and is a predicted model, not a curated record.
GGAGAGUCUUGGGGGAGCCCUGAUGAAGAAGCAGAAACAACACUGCUGAGAAGAGCUGCUUGUGAGAAAACCACUCAGAAGAGCUGGCUUUGAAUUUCUUGUGCUACCUUAGUGAAGACUUCACAUGAAGCCUGGAUGGGAGACCUGAAGAAAAUAUGGUUCAAGAAGCAAUUUAUUUGAGGCAUAAAGGAAAGGCUAGUUUGAAGAUGUGAAGAGGUUAGCAGGGAGCAUGAGUAUAGAGACCUGCACUUGAAAAGGGAAGAUGAUUGGCUGGCCUGCUUCAGGAGAAGGUGCUGGAGAAUGAAGGCUUCAAAUGCAGGAUAUAGUGCCUGCCAUAGAAAUUGAAUGGAGUACCUAGCAUGAUAUUCUUGCAUUUUUCAAGCUGUGUGGACUAUGGAGAAAAAAUGUGGAUGUGAGAACAAGUUGAAUUGGGGGAACACAAAGGAGCUUUCCCUAGAGGUGCUACAGUUAAGGUGGAACAUGAACUUACCUCAGCCAGAGAGUGUCCCAUCUGUCUCAUGUCUCUGGACAGGAGUCACUCUCAGAGCGGCACUUUGAUAGAUCUGUUAGGAAUGGCAAGUGAACUUCUACAGCUGACUUCAACCUCCAUACUCUUUCUGAAUUGAGCUGGACUGCACUUCCACAAGUUAUUCUUGUGUGUAAACUGAAUGCAUCAGGAGCAAUCAACAGGAAACAGGAUGUAGAAGGACUGAGACAUGGAGACAGGUCAGGCUGAGAGAUGGGAUGCCACGUGCUCUGCUACCUGAAGCUUGGUGGUGUGUUUGAGGCACUCUCUUCCCUGCUGGUGAGCUGAGCCCAUUUGUAUUGAUGUUUAUCUGUGAUAGCCCCAUCUGAUCUAACUUUGCCCUAGGUGGCAGAGACAGGUAAAUGCAUGAGAGAACAGAGGAAACAUUUUUGAGUAUAAACAGCAAGUGAGAGCAUAAUUCCUUCACUGCAUCAUUCAGAGUCUCUGCUUACAAUACUUCACCUCUAGCAGGUUGUGUGUUAUGGCAAAUCUUUGCCUAGAAGCUUAAGCUCACAACUUCAGAAAUUACAGCAGAAAUGGAAUAUUACCCUCACCAGAAGACCUACUGGAGGAGCAAAAGAAAAAUCCCCUAUUGGGGUCAAUGGCUGUUGCUUUUACUGGAAGGUGAAUGUUAACUAAUACUUAGAGGGGAAAAUUAACAUUAUUGAGAAAUUUCAUUUUACUACUAUGGGACCCAAACCUCAGGGUAUUAUCUAUGGUUCUUAACUAUUCCCCAAAUGGAGAGGCUGAUUUUUAUCACUUUUAAAAAGGCUUGUCAUCUCCAAGCCAUUGAGCAUAUUAAAGACUGCUUAAAUAAGCUGUUUGUAAUCAUUGCUGAUUGUUUCCCUUUGUUUAUUUAACAGACUAAAUCUAUUUAUAAAUUCAGUUUCUGUUCCCCUGUGACUGUCAUUAAUGUAUCUGCUUAUUUUACAUCAAUUAUCACUGUCAUGUAACCGAAUUGACUAAUAUAGUUUGUUGCUGUAUGAUUUCUCAGAGUGCAUUCAUUUUUACUCCCAUGUCUUUGAUCAGACACUUCCAAAACCACAUUAGCCAAAUCUUGUGCCUUGUGUUUUCACUUUUUGCUAACUGUCUAGAUCUCUGUAGAGAUUUUUCAGCAUGCAAAAGCUUUCUCCCUGCUCAAAAUCCUUGUACUUUAUACCACUUUCGUAAUCUUUUUUCCAUAGUAUAUACAAACAAUGUUUGUAUAUACCUUUACAGUAAAAUGUGAAAGGAAGAAGAAAACUUUUGCCUACAAUAUUCUGUACAAUUCCAUCAGGAGGAUGGAAUCUACUGUUCAGCUUCACAGGCUGCAAGUAUUGCUGUCGCUUUCAGAUGCUUGCUAUCUUUAUGCAAGGAUUGAUUAUACCAGGGAGAAGAGAUGCAGAUCUUCAGGGAUCUUUUGAUUAUUUGUGUGAUAAUACAUCAGAUAUUCCAGACAAAUAGAAAAAUAAGGAGUGGUGGAUAUUUAUGUACAUUAUGCUGACUGUAGCAGAGCAGCUCUGGUAAAGCCCAUUUGGGUGAUUUGUGUUCUACUAUCAGUCUCAACAAUUAAAAAAGAAAACCCAA